GGGGGGGGGGCCGUGCUUACCAUGGCAGUCUGACGGGAAUGCCGCGCUGAUGCGAUUUCGGUCAAAUCAUGUGCCAUUUAAGUGGCGGACGGGUGAGUAACGCGUGGGUAACCUCCCUUACACAGGGGGAUAACACCUGGAAACAGGUGCUAAUACCGCAUAAGCGCACAGGGCCGCAUGGCCCGGUGUGACAAAACUCCGGUGGUGUAAGAUGGACCCGCGUCUGAUUAGCUUGUUGGCGGGGUAGGGGCCCACCAAGGCGACGAUCAGUAGCCGGCCUGAGAGGGUGGACGGCCACAUUGGGACUGAGACACGGCCCAAACUCCUACGGGAGGCAGCAGUGGGGGAUAUUGGACAAUGGGGGAAACCCUGAUCCAGCGACGCCGCGUGAGUGAAGAAGUAUUUCGGUAUGUAAAGCUCUGUCAGCAGGGAAGAAAGAAAUGACGGUACCUGACCAAGAAGCCCCGGCUAACUACGUGCCAGCAGCCGCGGUAAUACGUAGGGGGCAAGCGUUAUCCGGAAUUACUGGGUGUAAAGGGAGCGUAGACGGUGAUGCAAGUCUGGAGUGAAAGGCGGGGGCCCAACCCCCGGACUGCUCUGGAAACUGUGUAACUUGAGUGCAGGAGAGGUAAGCGGAAUUCCUAGUGUAGCGGUGAAAUGCGUAUAUAUUAGGAGGAACACCAGUGGCGAAGGCGGCUUACUGGACUGUAACUGACGUUGAGGCUCGAAAGCGUGGGGAGCAAACAGGAUUAAAUACCCUGGUAGUCCACGCCGUAAACGAUGAUUACUACGUGUCGGUGGGUAUGGACCCACCGGUGCCGCCCCAAACGCAGUUAAUAAUCCUCCUGGGGAAGAACUUCGCAAGAAUUGAAACUCAAAAGAAAUUGACGGGGACCCGCA
Molecule: ribosomal RNA, 900 nt
Filed under: uncultured bacterium
Lineage: Bacteria
Description: bacterial SSU rRNA
Rfam family: Bacterial small subunit ribosomal RNA
Source: RNAcentral